CGUCACAGAAAACUAGUAUAAGUUUAAGUCGUGGGGAACGGUGGAGCUCAAAAUCCCACUGCACGAUUCUGGGACGAUGGGUAUACAACUGACAGGCACGGCUGGCUGCAUCUUGGUAUUAACAUAGACGGUCGUAGAAAGGCUCAAAUGCUAUUGCGGAAAGGAUUGAAGGUCAAGAUGCACCGCCCCGGCCUUUGAGGCUGCUUGUGUUUUCGCUUUUUAUUUCACUUUGGCGCAUUGCUGGGAUAUCGUUAGAAGAAGAGUCAGUUUGCACAUGGAGGUGUGGUGAGACUGCUGAAGUUGUCCGCCCUGCCAGGAUGUGAUGCAUUUUUUCUCGGGGAGGGUAGCCACAAAGUGGCCAAUGGAAGACUGACUGUCCGACGCGCUGGUAAAGGCCAUGGACGAGCUGUAGCUGGAGCCCGUUCCCCUCCCCUCUUCAGUGCACACCGCACCGCCUCUGACGGGUAGGGGACUGUGCCAUGUUGUGGGGACGAAGGAAAGGAAAGCCCAGCCGCUGUUUCUCUGCCGCACUGGGCCUGCUUUACGUGGGCGUCAUGGCGACGGUGUGGGCAAGGGGCCCGCAGGGAUGCCGCCGCGAAAUCAUUGGCGUGGUGGAAAGCAUCUUGAAGGAUGUCGGCAGAAUGAACUCCACUGAGGAGGGACUCUAUACACCGAAUGUCAAUGACUAUAAAAAAUGUCCUGCCUCCACAUUGAGGUGCUUUGCAGAGGAGUCAAAAGUGUUGGUGUAUCUCAAUCCUAAUUUAAGUGGUCAACUCACCAGAAGACUGAUGUCCAUUAGUCAGAAGGACUGGGAGCGGGAGCGCUGCCCGCAGUGUGAGGUCCACAGGGCAGAGCCGCUGGAGACGUUCCUUCGCACACUGUACGGGAUCCUGCAGCUGUGGUGUGACAGUGCAGAACAAGGCAACAGGAUGGGCCGUUAGGUCACCGCCUGGGCCUGCGCAGACAAAGCUGCUAGCUGCAACCUGGCUCCACAUUUCCCUCCCACCCCUGAGAUGAGGGGAAGAGGCGAAGAGGCAAAAAGGCUAUGAGCGGAGGGCCUGUUCCAGAUCUUUCGGAGUGACCUAAGGUUUGGAAGCUGGUCACCUUCUGCAGGAACUGUGCAAAGCAUAGCAACGAAGGGAAGCUGGAGCAAACAACUUUCAUACUGAAUUGUUGUUUGCUUUAACUUUUAUUUAUGUGAUUCUUGGCAAGUCGUUGGCAAAGUCUUGGUAAAUCACUCUCCGAUGGCAGCUCAGGCUACCAGAAAUCUGGGAUAAGGCCUAACCAGAAAGCCUUGGAUGUUUUACAUAAGACAGUAAUAAGCACACUAACUGUGGUAAUGGAUGUGCUUUGGUCUAAAAAAGCUUUCAGCCACUUCUGCAGCAACAGAUAUCAGUUUACUUUCCUGAUGAUGUAACAAGCUUCAACCAUGCAUUAAAGGAGAGAGGGGAUAUGUAUCUCACUCUGUUCUAAGCAGCGCUGAAAAACCAGUGCCCUUACAGAAAUGUUGGUAAGCUGCUGACCAAUUCAGUGUAUCCAGUUAAUUUCCUGGGAAUAAUUUCCAAAGCCUAUUUUCUAAAUGAAAAUACAGCAAUUCAGUUGUUUUUAAACCAAGACAGUAUAUAUAUAUAUACAAAUAUUCGCACAACAUACAACAAUUAAAAAUUUUUCAGACACUGCUGGAUGACUUUUUAUGAAUGGAUCCGAGAAAAAUGUUUCUGUUAUUGGUAUUCUUGUUGUAAUGCUCAUUUGUAAUUGUUUAUUCACAUUGAUUUAUGAGAUGGACAAUAAAACUGAUGGUUGUCUCAAUGAGAUUUGUAGUCACAGUAUGUAUGUUAAGUUACAGUGUAUUAUCUCAAGAAGAAAUUUAGCUGUUUUGGGGGUGUUUACUUCCAAAACGUGUUAAAACACUUUGUAGACUUACACUCCACACAAGAAGAUAAUGGUACAAUACUUCAGUCAAUCCAAUCAAAUCAAUUCAAGUUCAGGUUUUAUUUUUAUGUAAAGUAAGUAGGUUAAGGUAAGACUCUUAUUACUAAGGUAAGGUAGUAAGACUCUUGCCAAUCACAGGGGAUAUGUUCUGGAUAUCCCCCAGGAAUUCAGAAACCCAUGAGUACUGUACAAUACCAAUAAUCAGGCCCUAUUGAGAAACAAAGCAACUACAUUUUCACUCUUAAAAAUGCAAUCAUGUAUUAAACUUGUGCUUAAUAUAUAUAUUUAUGUAAUAAUGUUAUGAAUGCAGAUAAUGUGUAAAAUGAUACUCUGCAGUCUGGUUACAGAGAUUGAAGGUGAUAAGAGACAGUGCUGCCUUUAGCUUGUUUACUAAACUGGUGUCAAAAAAGACAAAAUCUGGUGCUGAAAGGAUUAGUAUGUUACACUGUUUUAUAUUGCAUAAUUCAAACUCAUGUGGUUGUAAUUUUGUGUGAGGUUCUUCACUUGGAACUGGAAAAUACUUCUUUUCAUCUUAUGUGUUGUCAGUGCUGCAACAGUAAAAAUCUUGUUGAAUGCAGCAUCAUUCAACAUGCAUUGUAAACCUGGAUUCAUGAGCCCCUUUAGAUUUGUGUGUAAAUAUUAAAUAUUGCUACAUUUUGUG
Molecule: long non-coding RNA, 2593 nt
Organism: Megalops cyprinoides (Indo-Pacific tarpon)
Lineage: Eukaryota; Metazoa; Chordata; Actinopteri; Elopiformes; Megalopidae
Exons: 6
Source: RefSeq, a predicted model, not a curated record